RNAcentral lists this ribosomal RNA (274 nucleotides) under uncultured bacterium. RNAcentral's name for it is "partial 16S ribosomal RNA". It matches the Rfam family "Bacterial small subunit ribosomal RNA", at positions 59 to 339 of the family's 1533-position model. The record is from RNAcentral.
AAGUCGAACGAAUAAGAGCCUAGCUUGCUAGGAAUUCUGUUAGUGGCAGACGGGAGCGUAACACGUGGGAACUUACCCUUGCAGUAUGGGAUAACAACGGGGAAACUGUUGCUAAAUACCAUAUACUCUCUGAAGGAGAAAAAGAUUUAUCGCUGUAAGAUAGGCCCGCGCUAGAUUAGGUAGUUGGUGGGGUAAUGGCCUACCAAGCCUACGAUCUAUAGCUGGUCUGAGAGGACGACCAGCCACACUGGGACUGAGACACGGCCCAGACUCC